GCUGGCGGCAUGCCUUACACAUGCAAGUCGAACGGUAACAGGUCUUCGGAUGCUGACAAGUGGCGAACGGGGGAGUAAUACAUCGGAACGCGCCCACUAAUGGGGGAUAGCUCGGCAAAAGCCGGAUUAAUACCGCAUACGCCCUGAGGGGGAAAGUGGGGGAUCGCAAGACCUCACGUUAUUGGAGCGGCCGAUGGCUGAUUAUCUAGUUGGUAGGGUAAAGGCCUACCAAGGCAACCAUCAGUACCUGGUAUGAGAGGACGAUCAGCCACACUGGGACUGAGACACGGCCCAGACUCCUACGGGAGGCACCAGCGGGGAAUUUUGGACAAUGGGGGAAACCCUGAUCCAACAAUGCCACGUGUGCGAACAACGCCUUCGGAGUUGUAAAGCACUUUUGUCAGGCAACAAAUCCUUUGGACUAAUACCCUACGGGGAUGACGGAACCUGAACAAUAUGCACCGGCUAACUACGUGCCAGCAGCCGCGGUAAUACGUAGGGUGCAAGCGUUAAUCGGAAUUACUGGACGUAAAGCGUGCGCAGGCGGUUGUGUGAAUACAGGUGUGAAAUCCCCGGGCUUAACCUGCGAAUUGCAUUUGCGACUGCGCGACUAAAGUGUGUCAGAGGCCGAUGGAAUUCCACGUGUACCAAUGAAAUGCGUAGAUAUGUGGAGGAACACCGAUGCCAAAGGCAGCCCCCUGGGAUAACACUGACGCUCAUGCAUGAAAGCGUGGGGAGCAAACAGGAUUAGAUACCCUGGUAGUGUCACGCCCUAAACGAUGUCAACUAGUUGUUGGGGAUUUAGUUCCUUGGUAAUGUAGCUAACGCGUGAAGUUGAAUGCCUGGGGAGUAGGGCGGCAAGGUUAAAACUCAAAGGAAUUGACGGGGAGCCGCACAAGCGGUGGAUGAUGUGGAUUAAUUCGAUGCAACGCGAAAAACCUUACCUACCCUUGACAUGGCAGGAACUUUCCAGAGAUGGAUUGGUGCUCGAAAGAGAACCUGCACACAGGUGCUGCAUGGCUGUGGUCAGCUCGUGUCGUGAGAUGUUGGGUUAAGUCCCGCAACGAGCGCAACCCUUGUCAUUAGUUGUUACGAAAGGGCACUUUAAUGAGACUGCCGGUGACAAACCGGAGGAAGGUGGGGAUGACGUCAAGUCCUCAUGGCCCUUAUGGGUAGGGCUUCACACGUCAUACAAUGGUCGGUACAGAGGGUUGCCAAGCCGCGAGGUGGAGCCAAUCCCAGAAAACCGAUCGUAGUCCGGAUCGCAGUCUGCAACUCGACUGCGUGAAGUCGGAAUCGCUAGUAAUCGCGGAUCAGAAUGCCGCGGUGAAUACGUUCCCGGGUCUUGUACACACCGCCCGUCACACCAUGGGAGUGGGUUAUACCAGAAGUGGAGUAGUCUAACCGCAAGGAGGACGGU
This 1420-nucleotide ribosomal RNA is filed under the name uncultured organism. Its description in RNAcentral is "16S ribosomal RNA". It matches the Rfam family "Bacterial small subunit ribosomal RNA". The record is from RNAcentral.